RNAcentral lists this ribosomal RNA (851 nucleotides) under uncultured archaeon. RNAcentral describes it as "bacterial SSU rRNA". It matches the Rfam family "Archaeal small subunit ribosomal RNA", at positions 45 to 903 of the family's 1478-position model. The record is from RNAcentral.
UAAGCCAUGCUAGUCUUUGUAGUAAUACAAGGCAUACGGCUCAGUAACGCGUAGUCAACCUACCCUAUGGACGGGGAUAAUCUCGGGAAACUGAGCAUAAUACCCGGUAGACCACUUCUCCUGGAAUGGUUAGUGGUUAAAAUGAUUCGUCGCCAUAGGAUGGGACUGCGGCCUAUCAGCUUGUUGGUGAGGUAAUGGCCCACCAAGGCGAUUACAGGUACGGGCUCUGAGAGGAGAAGCCCGGAGAUGGGUACUGAGACAAGGACCCAGGCCCUAUGGGGCGCAGCAGGCGAGAAAACUUUGCAAUGUGCGAAAGCACGACAAGGUUAAUCCGAGUGAUUUCUGCUAAAGGAAUCUUUUGUUAGUUCUAAAUCUACUAGUGAAUAAGGGGUGGGCAAGUUCUGGUGUCAGCCGCCGCGGUAAAACCAGCACCUCAAGUGGUCAGGAGGAUUAUUGGGCCUAAAGCAUCCGUAGCCUGUUCUAUAAGUUUGCGGUUAAAUCUAUACGCUCAACGUAUAGGCUGCCGUAAAUACUGUAGAACUAGGGAGUGGGAGAGGUAGACGGUACUCGGUAGGAAGGGGUAAAUCCUUUGAUCUAUUGAUGACCACCUGUGGCGAAGGCGGUCUACCAGAACACGUUCGACGGUGAGGGAUGGAAGCUGGGGGAGCAAACCGGAUUAGAUACCCGGGUAGUCCCAGCUGUAAACGAUGCAGACUCGAUGAUGCAAUGGCAUAGAGCUAUUGCAGUAUCGCAGGGAAGCCGUUAAGUCUGCCGCCUGGGAAGUACGUACGCAAGUAUGAAACUUAAAGGAAUUGGCGGGGGAGCACCACAAGGGGUGAAGCCUGCGGUUC